RNAcentral lists this ribosomal RNA (280 nucleotides) under uncultured bacterium. RNAcentral's name for it is "partial 16S ribosomal RNA". It matches the Rfam family "Bacterial small subunit ribosomal RNA", at positions 29 to 336 of the family's 1533-position model. The record is from RNAcentral.
AACGAACGCUGGCGGCAUGCCUAACACAUGCAAGUCGAACGAAGUCUUCGGACUUAGUGGCGCACGGGUGCGUAACGCGUGGGAAUCUGCCCUUGGGUGCGGGAAUAACUUCUCGAAAGGGAUGCUAAUACCGCAUAAUGUCGUAAGCCAAAGAUUUAUCGCCCAAGGAUGAGCCCGCGUAAGAUUAGCUAGUUGGUGGGGUAAAAGCCUACCAAGGCGACGAUCUUUAGCUGGUCUGAGAGGAUGAUCAGCCACACUGGGACUGAGACACGGCCCAGAC